Molecule: ribosomal RNA, 914 nt
Filed under: uncultured marine archaeon
Lineage: Archaea
Description: bacterial SSU rRNA
Rfam family: Archaeal small subunit ribosomal RNA
Source: RNAcentral
UUCCGGUUGAUCCUGCCGGAGGCUACCGCUAUUGGAGUUCGAUUAAGCCAUGCGAGUCGCGAGUCUUAGGGACUCGGCGUACCGCUCAGUAACACGUGGGUAACCUGCCCUAUGCUGGGGGAUAACCUCGGGAAACUGAGAAUAAUACCCCAUAGUUCACCACGCCUGGAACGGUGGGUGGAUGAAAGCUCCGGCGGCAUAGGAUGGGCCUGCGGCGUAUCAGGUUGUAGGGGGUGUAAUGUACCCUCUAGCCAUCUACGCGUACGGGUGUUGGGAGACAUCGCCCGGAGAUGGAUUCUGAGACACGAAUCCAGACCCUACGGGGUGCAGCAGGCGCGAAAACUUGGCAAUGCGAGCAAUCGUGACCAGGGAACUCCAAGUGCAUCGGGUAAUACCGAUGCUUUUCUUGACUCUUCAAAGGUCUUGGAAUAAGGGGUGGGUAAGGACGGUGCCAGCCGCCGCGGUAAUACCGGCGCCUCAAGUGGUAGUCGCUUUUAUUGGGCCUAAAACGUCCGUAGCCGGUUUGGUACAUUCGUGGGUAAAUCAAGGCGCUCAACGUCUUGAAUUCUGCGAGCACGGCCAGACUUGGGACCGGGUGAGGUGUGGGGUACUCUCAGGGUAGGGGUAAAAUCCUGUCAUCCUGAGAGGACCACCUGUUGCGAAGGCGCCACACUAGAACGGAUCCGACGGUCAGGGACGAAGCCUAGGGGCACGAACCGGAUUAGAUACCCGGGUAGUCCUAGGUGUAAACGCUGUGGACUUGAUGUUGGGAGUGCUCCGAGCACCCUCAGUGUCGAAGCGAAGGUGAUAAGUCCACUGCCUGGGGAGUACGGUCGCAAGGCUGAAACUUAAAGGAAUUGGCGGGGGAGCACUGCAACCUGAGGAUUGUGCGGUUUAAUUGGAUUCAACGCCGG